CCCAGAAUUUAGUCUGCCUCUUACUGAUCUUGUCUGAGGCUGGAAUUUAAGCAGGGUCAGUCCUGAUUUAUACCUGGAUGGGAGGCCACAAGGGAACAAAGUUAAUACUGUAC
Molecule: ribosomal RNA, 113 nt
Filed under: Salvator merianae (Argentine black and white tegu)
Lineage: Eukaryota; Metazoa; Chordata; Lepidosauria; Squamata; Teiidae
Source: RNAcentral